AAUAGAUACCCUGGUAGUCCACGCCGUAAACGAUGAGUGCUAGGUGUUAGGGGGUUUCCGCCCCUUAGUGCUGCAGCUAACGCAUUAAGCACUCCGCCUGGGGAGUACGGUCGCAAGACUGAAACUCAAAGGAAUUGACGGGGGCCCGCACAAGCGGUGGAGCAUGUGGUUUAAUUCGAAGCAACGCGAAGAACCUUACCAGGUCUUGACAUCCCGCUGACCGCCAUGGAGACAUGGCUUUCCCUUCGGGGACAGCGGUGACAGGUGGUGCAUGGUUGUCGUCAGCUCGUGUCGUGAGAUGUUGGGUUAAGUCCCGCAACGAGCGCAACCCUUGUCCUUAGUUGCCAUCAUUCAGUUGGGCACUCUAAGGAGACUGCCGUACAAAUACGGAGGAAGGUGGGGAUGACGUCAAAUCAUCAUGCCCCUUAUGACCUGGGCUACACACGUGCUACAAUGGGUGGUACAAAGGGCGGCAAACCCGCGAGGGGGAGCGAAUCCCAAAAAGCCACUCUCGGUUCGGAUUGCAGGCUGCAACUCG
This 538-nucleotide ribosomal RNA is filed under the name uncultured bacterium. RNAcentral's name for it is "bacterial SSU rRNA". It matches the Rfam family "Bacterial small subunit ribosomal RNA", at positions 777 to 1314 of the family's 1533-position model. The record is from RNAcentral.